Molecule: transfer RNA, 36 nt
Filed under: Drosophila biseriata
Lineage: Eukaryota; Metazoa; Arthropoda; Insecta; Diptera; Drosophilidae
Description: partial tRNA-Leu
Source: RNAcentral
GCUCCAUAUAUAAAGUAUUUUACUUUUAUUAGAAAU